GGCAGCACGGGUACUUGUACCUGGUGGCGAGCGGCGGACGGGUGAGUAAUGCCUAGGAAUCUGCCUGGUAGUGGGGGAUAACGCUCGGAAACGGACGCUAAUACCGCAUACGUCCUACGGGAGAAAGCAGGGGACCUUCGGGCCUUGCGCUAUCAGAUGAGCCUAGGUCGGAUUAGCUAGUUGGUGAGGUAAUGGCUCACCAAGGCGACGAUCCGUAACUGGUCUGAGAGGAUGAUCAGUCACACUGGAACUGAGACACGGUCCAGACUCCUACGGGAGGCAGCAGUGGGGAAUAUUGGACAAUGGGCGAAAGCCUGAUCCAGCCAUGCCGCGUGUGUGAAGAAGGUCUUCGGAUUGUAAAGCACUUUAAGUUGGGAGGAAGGGCAUUUACCUAAUACGUGAGUGUUUUGACGUUACCGACAGAAUAAGCACCGGCUAACUCUGUGCCAGCAGCCGCGGUAAUACAGAGGGUGCAAGCGUUAAUCGGAAUUACUGGGCGUAAAGCGCGCGUAGGUGGUUUGUUAAGUUGGAUGUGAAAUCCCCGGGCUCAACCUGGGAACUGCAUCCAAAACUGGCAAGCUAGAGUAUGGUAGAGGGCGGUGGAAAUUCCUUGGGAGCGGUGAAAUGCGUAGAU
This 634-nucleotide ribosomal RNA is filed under the name Pseudomonas sp. LS16. RNAcentral's name for it is "bacterial SSU rRNA". It matches the Rfam family "Bacterial small subunit ribosomal RNA", at positions 65 to 695 of the family's 1533-position model. Lineage: Bacteria; Pseudomonadati; Pseudomonadota; Gammaproteobacteria; Pseudomonadales; Pseudomonadaceae. The record is from RNAcentral.